This 3213-nucleotide long non-coding RNA is filed under the name Homo sapiens (human). RNAcentral's name for it is "HSALNT0204796". The record is from RNAcentral. Lineage: Eukaryota; Metazoa; Chordata; Mammalia; Primates; Hominidae.
AAUAUAAGAAGGCAGGAAUGUCAGGCCUCUGAGCCCAAGCCAAGCCAUCGCAUCCCCUGUGACUUGCACGUAUACGCCCAGAUGGCCUGAAGUAACUGAAGAAUCACAAAAGAAGUGAAUAUGCCCUGCCCCACCUUAACUGAUGACAUUCCACAACAAAAGAAGUGUAAAUGGCUGGUCCUUGCCUUAAGUGAUGACAUUACUUUGUGAAAGUCCUUUUCCUGGCUCAUCCUGGCUCAAAAAGCAACCCCACUGAGCACCUUGGGAUCCCCACUCCUGCCUGCCAGAGAACAAACCACCUUUGACUGUAAUUUUCCUUUACCUACCCAAAUCCUAUAAAAUGGCCCCACCCUUAUCUCCCUUCACUGACUCUCUUUUCGGACUCAGCCCGCCUGCACCCAGGUGAAAUAAACAGCCAUGUUGCUCACAGAAAGCCUGUUUGGUGGUCUCUUCACACGGACGCGCAUGAAAGUCUGACUAAAUAUUGGGAAAAAGUAAUGGAGAGAAAUGAUUGAAACCAUUGAAACCAUCAUCGCAAAAUUAUAACUGAGACGGUUACAGAGAUCUGACUUAACCAACUCCAUCUUGCUUCUACCCUCUAAGCUGUCCUUCAUUCCCGGGCAUAGGCCAAACUAACUUUGGGAGGAACUUAGUUUAUAGUUUAUAGUUUAAAAUAAAGAUGAUAACAGCCCUUUCCCAAAACAAACUUCCUCUGCGUAAGGACUAGACUGCCUUUGUAGGACUAAUAAGUUAGCUAAAAUAUUGGAAGUUAUGGUUUAGGAGUCUUGCAUCGUGGGGCUACAAGAUUCUGACCCUCCCCAAAUUGCUCCUGGGGAUAACAUCACUAUUGUAAAACCUACAAUAAGUUCUUGAGAUAUUUUGUACCCUGUACUUGAUGGAUCAACUGGCACCACCCAGACUGAUAAACUGGCUCAUCUGAUCUUGUGGUCCCCAUCCAGGAACUGACUUAGCAUUAGAGGACAGCUUCAACUCCCAAUGAUUUCAUCAUCCACCAAACCAAUCAGCAUUUCCGAUUCACUGUCCACCACUCCUCCCACACCAAAUUAUUACUAUUAUUAUUAUUUUUUGAGACGGAGUCUCUCUCUGCCGCCCGGGCUGGAGUGCAGUAGUGUGAUCUCCGCUCACUGCAAGCUCCGCCUCCCAGGUUCACGCCAUUCUCCUGCCUCAGCCUCUCGAGUAGCUGGGACCACAUGCCCCCGCCACGACGCCCAGCUAAUUUUUUUUUUUUUGUAUUUUUAGUAGAGACGGGGUUUCACCGUGUUAGCCAGGAUGGUCUCAAUCUCCUGACUUCGUGAUCCGCCCGCCUCGGCCUCCCAAAGUGCUGGAUUACAGGCGUGAGCCACCGCACCCGGCCCAAAUUACUUGAUUAUUAAAAACUCUCAUCCCCAAAUGCUUGUAGAGAAUGAUUUGCCCAUAACAAGCCCAGACUCAGACGUCAGGACUACCAGCUGCGGGAAGGAGCUACCCACUUCCAGUCUCCUCGACUCUUUCGAACAACUUGUCUAAGGAAAGGAGCUCCUCACCACAGGUCUCCCCUCCACUGACAGCUGGACACUCAUGGGGACGACCUGCCUGCAAAAAGGAGCUACCCACUUUGAGUCUCCUGAGAGCUGUUCUGUUGCUCCUUGAAGCUCUUGCUCACCCUCCAAUUGUCCAUGUACCUCAUUCUUUCUUGAUGUGCAACAAGAACUCAGGACCUGUAGAAUGGAGGGCCUUCAAGAGCUGUGACACAAACAGGGCUGAAACACUCCCCAUGUGCGCCACAUUACGGGUGAUGAGGAGAGAAGAGCUGUGGCCCUUCUGGGAUCCCAGACCUUGGGUAUCCCUGAGCCAGGGAUGUGACAUGCUAUAACCCCCUCUUUGGGGCUUUGCAAUUCCUGGUAUCUCCAAACUUUGGGGCGCCACCAUGUUCUCCAUGUCCAGACCCUGGUUCCCACAGUGGAGGCAACUUGCGGUAUGUCUGGUCCAGCCACAGCCUUUCACAGAGCUGGUGCCUGUGCCAGCACUUGGAGCUGCCCAUCCUGCUGCAGCUGGCAUGCCUGGCUGUGCACAGUGGCCGAACCCUGCACUUGCUCACUCACAUGCCCCUUACUGCGUUGUUCCUGGCCCACCCUUGGCAGGCAUGGGAUCUGGGCUGGUAAUACAAGCUGAGUGUAGCUUGCUGGGCCGAGUGGACAGAAUGAGCCCAGCAGGUGCAAGCAAAACCCAAACAGAGGCAUUAAGGACCAGCUGGUGAAGAGACACCCUGAAGAUCCUGUGACAAUAUUGUUUAUUCACUAAAUGUUUCAAACUCUUAAACAGAGAAAUGUACAUGCAAUGUUACAAUGAAUACAAAGCUAUAAAUGUGCAAGAUCAUUAAUGAAUGUAACUGUCGUGGAUUUUAAUUGAACCACUAAGUUUGCUUUACUCUUAAAUGUAUUUUGUUAUGUAAUUUUAUUAUUUAUUUGAAUGCCUAGUCCUCGAUUUUUACAAAUCAAAAGUAAACAAAGCAAACCAAACCAAACAAAAAAAGCCUACAGCAAUGCAGAAUUUGGUUUAUUCCUGCUCCAGUCACAGGUACUUGUUCUCAGUGUAAGGAGAGAGAGCUGUGUCUCUUGUCACAGAUUUUUACUUGUUACAUAAUGGGACACUGUAUUUUGUAUUAAAUAUUAAUUUUAAUUUAGAGUUUCUUAUUUGUCUCCAAUAAGAAAAGGUUUGUAUGUUUUUUAAGUUUACAUGGCUGGGUAACUAAAUUAGUCAUAUUUUGAAAUAAACAUAUUGUAUUAUAUUACAAAAUAUAUUUUACCUAAUAUUUAUUUUUAAAUGUAUAUAUUUCUUAUUCAUAUUUUAUUGCAGUUAGUAGAGCCACCUUCAAUUUUCUUCUUUGAUAAAAUGAGGGAAUGAAUUUUCAUACUUGCUUUUUUUAGAAUAUUUUGGUAAUUCAUCAUUAGGGAAUACAUUAUUGGAAUCAUCCUUUAAUUACCUGUUGUAUAUGAUGCAUCACUUUCUGUAUAUUUAUCAUACAUGAACUCUAAUGUUGAUUCACCUGGCUUGUUAUUGUGAAUCCUACUCUUCAAAACUAACUGGCUCACUCACAAAUUCUAUUUAACUAUUUUCUGCUUAAACAAUAGAAACAAGAAAUUUAUAAACCGUCCCUUUUACAAAGGAAGCAAAAAUAUAAACAAAAACAAUGUCCUACUUAUUAAAAUCAAC